UUGGUAUUCCUCUGUUCAAUAAAGGAUGUCUCAACUUUGAUUAAAUUUGAAUGCAUCUAUACACUAAGUCAUGUCUAGAUACAUUCAAAUUUUAACAAACUUGAGACAUCUUUUGUUGGACGGAGGGAGUAGUUG
This is a non-coding RNA of Brachypodium distachyon (stiff brome), 135 nucleotides long. NCBI's taxonomy places the organism in Eukaryota, Viridiplantae, Streptophyta, Magnoliopsida, Poales, Poaceae. The record is from Rfam.